Molecule: small RNA, 2269 nt
Filed under: Pongo abelii (Sumatran orangutan)
Lineage: Eukaryota; Metazoa; Chordata; Mammalia; Primates; Hominidae
Description: retained intron
Source: RNAcentral
UUUAAGGACUGCCCAAAGGUCCACCCAAUUCUUUUUUUUUAAUCUUUAUUUAUUUUAUUUAUGUAUUUAUUUUGAGACAGGAUCUCACUCUGUUGUCCAGGCUGGAGCGCAGUGGUGCAAUCUCGGCUCACUGCAACCUCCGCCUCUGGGCUCAGGUGAUCCUCCCACCUCAGCCUCCUGAGUAGCUGGGAUUACAGGCAUGUGCCACCACGCCCAGCUAAUUUUUUUUUUUUGAGACGGAAUCUCCCUGUGUUGCCCAGGCUGGAGUGCAGAGGCAGGAUCUCGGCUCACUGCAACCUCCGCCUCCUGAGUUCAAGAGAUUCUCCUUCCUGCAUCAGCCUCCCGAGUAGCUGGGACUACAGGUGCAUGCUGCCACGCCCGGCCAAUUUUUGUAUUUUUAGUAGACAUGGGGUUUCACCAUGUUGCCCAGGCUGGUCUCGAACUCCUGAACUCAGGCAAUCCACCCGCCUCGACCUCCCAAAGUGCUAGGAUUACAGGCGUGAGCCACCGCGCCCUGCCACACCCAGCUAAUUUUUGUAUUUUUAGUAGAGACAGGGUUUCACCGUGUCAGGCUGGUCUUGAACGCCUGACCUCAGGUGAUCCUCCCACCUCAGCCUCCCGAGGAGCUGGGAUUACAGGCAUAUGCCACCACGCCCAGCUAAUUUUUGUAUUUUUGGUAGAGACGGGGUUUCACUGUGUUGGCCAGGCUGGACUCGAACUCCUGACCUCAGGUGAUCCUCCCACCUCGGCCUCCCAAAGUGCAGGGAUUACAGGCGUGAGCCCCUGCGCCCAGUGAAGGUCCCCUCUUCUCUCCACCAUGACCUGCUCCACCCCUCCUUCCUCUCCAGGUGGGCAUGACGGCUCCCGGGACGCGGCGGCACAUCUAUGACACCAAGCUGGGAACCGACAAGUGUGAUAACUCCUCCAUGUCCCUGCAGAUGGGCUACACGCAGGGUGCCAACCAGAGUGGCCAGGUCUUCGGCCUGGGCCGGCAGAUAUAUGACCCCAAGUACUGCCCGCAAGGCACAGUGGCCGACGGGGCUCCCUCGGGCACCGGCGACUGCCCCGACCCGGGGGAGGUCCCUGAAUAUCCCCCUUACUACCAGGAGGAGGCUGGCUACUGAGGCUCCCAGCACGCUCUCUCCCCACAUCGUCUCCCCGUCUGGGUUUUUGGGUUUUUCUGUGUUUUCAUCUUUUUUUUUUCUUAACCGGUUCAGUGCUGCCAGUCAACCAAGGAUCUGUGAGUGUCAGUGUGGGAUCAGGCAGCAGAGCUUUUUUCCCCUUUGCCUUGAUCCUUCGCAAGACUGAGCCACUGGGCUGUGGGGGAAGGGGUCAAGGCCAUAUCCCAAUACGUGUAGGGCGAGGGUCCCUGCUGGCACGUUCAGGCUGUGCUGAGAAGAAGAGACCUGGGCUUGGAAGGAACCGGUCCCUGAAGGUUUCUGGUUGCCUCGCCUCUUCCCCCUUUUGUCAGCUGAGCAGUUUGUGGUUUCUGUGCCCGCAAGUUUCAGGAAGUAUUCACAAAAGAAAAAUACAUUUUUUUUUUCCCGAGGAGUGGGGCAGGGACAGUGGAGAGGGUGCUAGGAAAUGAGUCCCCUGGGAAUGGGGACCCGGCCAUGAAGCUAAAUAUCUCCGGCUCCCAAGUGACUGGAUUUCCCUAGGACCUUCAGACCAACAGACCUCAGACCCUCAGACCUGCCCCGGGGCCAGGUGGGGAAAGUGAAAUUCUGAGUUGUUGGGGCUAAGCCUGACCCCCCUCUCCAUGCUCCCCACCCCAACCCACUCUGGCCUCAGUAGAUUUUAUUUUCAGUUGUGGUUGUUGCCCAGGCUGGAGUGCAGUGGCGCCAUCUUGGCUCACUGCACCUCCACCUCCCAGGCUCAAGCGAUUCUCCAGCCUCAGCCUGCUGAGUAGCUAGGACUGCAGGUGCUCCACCACGCCCGGCUAAUUUUUGUAUUUUUAGUAGAGACGGGGUUUCCCCAUGUUGGCCAGGCUGGUCUUGAACUCCUGGCCUCAGGUGUGAUCCGCCUGCCUCUGCCUCCCCAAGCGCUGAGAUUACAGGUGUGAGCCACCAUGCCCAGCCCCUCAGUAGGUUUUAAGGAGCCCGCAGCCCUCCUCCCUUCUGGGCCCGACCAGCUUAUACUGCUCCAUCUUCCCCGGCCACAUGCCCCGCCAAGUACUGCACAGGGACCCCCCACCCAGGGGCCCUGCUCCAUGAGAUAAUGUGAAAUACGACUGUGGACCAAACGCAAUAAAACCUCUGUUUGUAAGAAG